Molecule: unclassified non-coding RNA, 289 nt
Filed under: Dermacentor andersoni
Lineage: Eukaryota; Metazoa; Arthropoda; Arachnida; Ixodida; Ixodidae
Description: uncharacterized LOC126525688
Source: RNAcentral
GCUCACGCUAAGCGACGGCCCGGUUUGCGAUGACCUCGUUCUCUGGAAGACACUCAUCCCAGCGUUCUGUGAAAUGAUCACCUUGGAAGAACUGAAUCUGGACUUAUCCAUCGGAUAUGAAAUCUUCCCCGAAGUGACCGCUCUCUUAGCCGAAGUGGUUCUUCACUGCCCAACCAUACGACUCCUCCAGCUACCUCGGCAAGGACAAUCCUGCCGCGGCCAGUUCCUGAAUGGUGACCGAGAUCCACGAUAUAACGUGGCGCAUUGGAUGAGAGCGUGGCUCAAAGCU